UACGUAGGGUGCGAGCGUUGUCCGGAAUCAUUGGGCGUAAAGGGCGCGCAGGCGGCCGAGCACGUCCGUUGUGAAAUCGCCUGGCUCAACUGGGCGGGGUCAGCGGAUACGGCUAGGCUGGAGCAAGCUAGGGGGCAAUGGAAUUCCCGGUGUAGUGGUGAAAUGCGUAGAUAUUGGGAGGAACACCAGUGGCGAAGGCGGCUCACUGGACCGGAACUGACGCUGAGGCGCGAAAGCGUGGGGAGCAAACGGG
Molecule: ribosomal RNA, 253 nt
Filed under: uncultured bacterium
Lineage: Bacteria
Description: partial 16S ribosomal RNA
Rfam family: Bacterial small subunit ribosomal RNA
Source: RNAcentral